AUUGAACGCUGGCGGCAUGCCUUACACAUGCAAGUCGAACGGUAACGGGCAUUCGGGUGCCGCCGUGCGGCGAACGGGCGGGCAAUACAUCGAUACGUGCCCGACCGUUGGGGAUAAGGGGGCACAAGCUUUGCACAAACCCCAUACGCUCUACGCAUGACAGCAUGGGACCGCAAGGCCUUGCGCGCUCGUACCGGCCGAUGGCAGAUUAGGUAGUUGGUGGGUUAAAAGCUUACCAAGCCGACGAUCUGUAGCUGGUCUGCGAGGAUGAUCAGCCACACUGGGACUGAGACACGGCCCAGACUCCUACGGGAGGCAGCAGUGGGGAAUGUUGGACAAUGGGCGCAAGCCUGAUCCAGCCAUGCCGCGUGCAAGAAGAAGGCCUUCGGGUUGUAAAAUGCUUUUGUACGGAAGGAAAAGCCUUAUGUUAAUACCGGUGCGUCAUGACGGUACCAGAAGAAUAAGCACCGGCUAACUACGUG
RNAcentral lists this ribosomal RNA (482 nucleotides) under uncultured bacterium. RNAcentral's name for it is "partial 16S ribosomal RNA". It matches the Rfam family "Bacterial small subunit ribosomal RNA", at positions 30 to 507 of the family's 1533-position model. The record is from RNAcentral.